AGGGCGCACGGUGGAUGCCUUGGCACCAGGAACCGAUGAAGGACGUGGGAGGCCACGAUAGUCCCCGGGGAGUCGUCAACCAGGCUUUGAUCCGGGGGUUUCCGAAUGGGGAAACCCGGCAGUCGUCAUGGGCUGUCACCCUUGCCUGAACACAUAGGGCAAGUGGAGGGAACGCGGGGAAGUGAAACAUCUCAGUACCCGCAGGAAGAGAAAACAACCGUGAUUCCGGGAGUAGUGGCGAGCGAAACCGGAUGAGGCCAAACCGUAUGCGUGUGAGACCCGGCAGGGGUUGCGUAUACGGGGUUGUGGGAUCUCUCUUUCAUGGUCUGCCGGCCAUGAGACGAGUCAGAAACCGUUGAUGUAGGCGAAGGACAUGCGAAAGGUCCGGCGUAGAGGGUAAGACCCCCGUAGUCGAAACAUCAGCGGCUCGUUUGAGAGACACCCAAGUAGCACGGGGCCCGAGAAAUCCCGUGUGAAUCUGGCGGGACCACCCGCUAAGCCUAAAUAUUCCCUGGUGACCGAUAGCGGAUAGUACCGUGAGGGAAUGGUGAAAAGUACCGCGGGAGCGGAGUGAAAUAGUACCUGAAACCGUGUGCCUACAAGCCGUGGGAGCGUCGGACAUCAAGCUUGCUUGGUGUCUCGUGACUGCGUGCCUUUUGAAGAAUGAGCCUGCGAGUUUGCGGUGUGUUGCGAGGUUAACCCGGGUGGGGAAGCCGUAGCGAAAGCGAGUCCGAAUAGGGCGUUUCAGUAGCAUGCUCAAGACCCGAAGCGGAGUGAUCUAGCCAUGGGCAGGUUGAAGCGGAGGUAAGACUUCGUGGAGGACCGAACCCACCAGGGUUGAAAACCUGGGGGAUGACCUGUGGUUAGGGGUGAAAGGCCAAUCAAACUCCGUGAUAGCUGGUUCUCCCCGAAAUGCAUUUAGGUGCAGCGUCGUGUGUUUCUUGCCGGAGGUAGAGCACUGGAUAGGCGAUGGGCCCUACCGGGUUACUGACCUUAGCCAAACUCCGAAUGCCGGUAAGUGAGAGCGCGGCAGUGAGACUGUGGGGGAUAAGCUCCAUGGUCGAGAGGGAAACAGCCCAGAGCAUCGACUAAGGCCCCUAAGCGUACGCUAAGUGGGAAAGGAUGUGGAGUCGCACAGACAACCAGGAGGUUGGCUUAGAAGCAGCCACCCUUGAAAGAGUGCGUAAUAGCUCACUGGUCUAGUGAUUCCGCGCCGACAAUGUAGCGGGGCUCAAGCGUACCGCCGAAGUCGUGUCAUUCACACAAUAGGGCCAACGCCUGUGUGGAUGGGUAGGGGAGCGUCGUGUGCCGGGUGAAGCAGCCGCGGAAGCGAGUUGUGGACGGUUCACGAGUGAGAAUGCAGGCAUGAGUAGCGAUACACACGUGAGAAACGGAUCUGCCCAGGGUAAGUCGGGACCUAAGGCGGAUCUGCCCAGGGUAAGUCGGGACCUAAGGCGAGGCCGACAGGCGUAGUCGAUGGAUAACCGGUUGAUAUUCCGGUACCCGCUGUGAAGCGUCAAACAUUGAAUCCAGUGAUGCUAAGCCCGUGAAGCCGCCGGCUGAGUCUUCGGACGAGGUCGGAGUGGUGGAGCCGGUGACCCGAGCUGGUAGUAGGUGAGUGAUGGGGUGACGCAGGAAGGUAGUCCAUCCCGGGCUGAGACCUGAUGCCGAGCCGAUUGUGGUGAAGUGGAUGAUCCUAUGCUGUCGAGAAAAGCCUCUAGCGAGUUUCAUGGCGGCCCGUACCCUAAACCGACUCAGGUGGUCAGGUAGAGAAUACCGAGGCGUUCGGGUGAACUAUGGUUAAGGAACUCGGCAAAAUGCCCCCGUAACUUCGGGAGAAGGGGGGCCAUCACUGGUGAGGGGACUUGCUCUCCGAGCUGGGGGUGGCCGCAGAGACCAGCGAGAAGCGACUGUUUACUAAAAACACAGGUCCGUGCGAAGCCGUAAGGCGAUGUAUACGGACUGACGCCUGCCCGGUGCUGGAACGUUAAGGGGACCGGUUAGUCACUCUUCGGGGUGGCGAAGCUGAGAACUUAAGCGCCAGUAAACGGCGGUGGUAACUAUAACCAUCCUAAGGUAGCGAAAUUCCUUGUCGGGUAAGUUCCGACCUGCACGAAUGGCGUAACGACUUCUCGACUGUCUCAACCAUAGGCCCGGUGAAAUUGCACUACGAGUAAAGAUGCUCGUUUCGCGCAGCAGGACGGAAAGACCCCGGGACCUUUACUACAGUUUGAUAUUGGUGUUCGGUUCGGCUUGUGUAGGAUAGCUGGGAGACUUUGAUCAUCGGACGCCAGUUCGGUGGGAGUCGUCGUUGAAAUACCAGUCUGGUCGUGCUGGAUGUCUAACCUGGGUCCGUGAUCCGGAUCAGGGACAGUGUCUGAUGGGUAGUUUAACUGGGGCGGUUGCCUCCUAAAGAGUAACGGAGGCGCCCAAAGGUUCCCUCAGCCUGGUUGGCAAUCAGGUGUUGAGUGUAAGUGCACAAGGGAGCUUGACUGUGAGACCGACGGGUCGAGCAGGGACGAAAGUCGGGACUAGUGAUCCGGCGGUGGCUUGUGGAAGCGCCGUCGCUCAACGGAUAAAAGGUACCCCGGGGAUAACAGGCUGAUCUUCCCCAAGAGUCCAUAUCGACGGGAUGGUUUGGCACCUCGAUGUCGGCUCGUCGCAUCCUGGGGCUGGAGUCGGUCCCAAGGGUUGGGCUGUUCGCCCAUUAAAGCGGUACGCGAGCUGGGUUUAGAACGUCGUGAGACAGUUCGGUCCCUAUCCGCUGUGCGCGUAGGAGUCUUGAGAAGGGCUGUCCCUAGUACGAGAGGACCGGGACGGACGAACCUCUGGUGUGCCAGUUGUCCUGCCAAGGGCAUGGCUGGUUGGCUACGUUCGGGAGGGAUAACCGCUGAAAGCAUCUAAGCGGGAAGCCUGCUUCGA
RNAcentral lists this ribosomal RNA (2922 nucleotides) under Streptomyces sp. NRRL WC-3626. Its description in RNAcentral is "bacterial LSU rRNA". It matches the Rfam family "Bacterial large subunit ribosomal RNA". Lineage: Bacteria; Bacillati; Actinomycetota; Actinomycetes; Kitasatosporales; Streptomycetaceae. The record is from RNAcentral.